AAAAAGACAAAUCUCGGAUUUCCAUGUCCAACGUUUAACUGUUCGUAAUUUUUUUUAUAAUUAGUAUUUUCAUUGUUGUUAGAUGAUAAAACAUGAAUAAUACUUUAUGCGUGACUUAUCUUUUUAAUUUUUUUCAAAUAUGACGGAUGGUCAAACGUUAGACAUGGAAACCCAUGGUUUGCCUUUUU
Oryza sativa Indica Group (long-grained rice) is the source of this 188-nucleotide microRNA precursor. It matches the Rfam family "MIR812 microRNA precursor family". The record is from Rfam. Lineage: Eukaryota; Viridiplantae; Streptophyta; Magnoliopsida; Poales; Poaceae.